RNAcentral lists this long non-coding RNA (3814 nucleotides) under Podarcis muralis (Common wall lizard). Its description in RNAcentral is "lncRNA (ENSPMRG00000015721.1)". The stretch from base 3406 to 3475 matches the Rfam family "tRNA". The record is from RNAcentral. Lineage: Eukaryota; Metazoa; Chordata; Lepidosauria; Squamata; Lacertidae.
GGAAGCGGCUGGGCGGGCAGCCCUCCUCCCGCCAUUGGUGGGCGCCCCUCUCUCCCGGGGAGCCCGAGGAGGCGCCGAUUGGCUGCCGGCGCUUGUCAGUCGGCGAGGGCCGAGUUCCAUUGUUGGCUGGGCGUGCGGCGUGAAUCGCUGCUGCUGCUGCUGCCGCGGCGGCUGGUGCAGCUGCGGGGAGAGCGGGGCUGGCGGCGCGGCGGCGGCGGAGGGAGAAGGGAUGCUGGCGGAAUGGGCGGCCGGGCAGGAAAGCGGCGAGCGGGAGCCGGAACUCCGCUGAGAAGCGUCCGCGCUGCUGCUGCCAGUCAAGGGAAGGACGUGAGCCGAGCCCCGCCGACAACCACAGCGGCUGGAGACAGACAGACAGACAGGUCAUGUAUCCACAGCAGUGACCAGUGGAGGAAUGACCACUGGGAGGAGCACAGAGAAGAAACGCCGUGGUGCAUCUGCAGCAGCACGACCAGAAACAUUCAUCUGCUCCAGCUGCAACAAAAUGUGUCUCUAUCAGUCUCUACAGCCACAAGAGGCACUGCAACCUUCCAAUAGUUUGAUUUCAUCCGCAAAGGUGCAAUCCUCCAUUUACUCCCAAGAUAGAAAGAUGCCAACACAUUUAUGUUGUGGCCCAUCCAAUACAUUCUCACUAGACCAGGGUUUCCCAAACAUGGGUCUCCAGCUGUUGUUGGACUACAGCUCCCAUCAUCCUAGUUAGCAGGAGUAGUUGGCAAGGAUGGUGGGUGUUGUAGCCCCAAAACAGCUGGAGACCCAAGUUUGGUAAACCCUGCACUAGACUAUCUCCACCCCCCAUAAAUGCAGAUAUGUCCAUGUCAAGGCAUUGCAUUAUAUAUUUUAUUUCCCUACCCCUUGAAUGUCGUGGGCUGGAGAAAACAUAUUCUGAUGUUGUAAAGCAUGGGAAACGUGCAUUGCAUAAGAUGGAGUGUUGCUGCAUAUCGUGAAUGAUUGAGACAAAUGGGGUGAGCUCCCAUUGCUCUGUCCCAGCUCCUGCCAACCUAGCAUGCCAGUGUGAGUAGAUAAAUAGGUACUGCUGUGGCGGGGAGGUAAACGGCAUUUCCGUGCAUUCUGCUUCCAUCACACUGUUCCGUUGCACCAGAAGCGGUUUAGUCAUGCUGGCCACUUGACCUAGAAAAUUGUCUGUGGACAAACGCCAGCCUGAAGUGAGAUGAGUGUCACACCCCAUAGUCACCUUUGACUGUACUUAGCCAUCCAGGGGUCCUCCCCCCCCCCAUUUUUUUUUUACUACAGUUGGAGGGAACUUUUGAUCCUCCAGAUGUUGCUCCCAUCAGCUUCAGGAAGCAUGGCCAAUGGCCAGGGAUGACAGUUGUGGAAACAAGGGUUCCGCACUCCCACUCCACCACAAUGCUAAGAGGUACCAUAACCAUAGCACACUUCUCUGGCAGCUCAGAGCACAGCCGUGGCAGGAGAGAUAGCAGGAAUAUCUAGCACAAAAAUUGCUUUCCAAGGCAGCACAGCAACUGCAACAUCCAAUGAAGAAAAGAAGGCAGCAGAGUUAAUUAAAAAUAAAAGCAAAGCCACACUGAGCUAGGAAAUACCAUAAACUGAAACUGGUUUGGAGUGAGAAUAAAAAGGUGUGGGAGGCAAUUAACUUAGAAAUACCUCAAUUUCAGAGGAAUAAUUUGUUACAAUGUCUUGUUGUUGGAGCGGGUUAAUUUAAAAAUGGCAGACUAAUCCACAUCUUCAUUUGAGGACUGGGUUUUGGUUUUUUUGCUGGAAAGAGAUAAGUUGACAUCAAUGAGGAUUGUUUUCAAAUCUGUUUGGCUGUAGCAACAGUAAUAAAUAUUUACAGGUGGCCUACUUUUGGGAUUGCAAAGUAUACCUUCACAGACCUAGAUUUGUCAAGAUUCAUGCAAAACACACAUAAUUUCAGACAGGGUUGCUGGAAGUCAAGCUAUUCAAAUAAGAUGUGUAAAUCUGCUAAGUGAUAUUUAUCUUUUCCGAUUGCUCUUUGUCUUGAGCGUCGCGAGGUUUUUCUGGAUGGAAAAGCAAUCUGCAAAAAGGGAAGAGCGCUUCUAAAUUCCGUAGUAGGACAGCUUGCCAGCAACCACUUAAAAUUGGAGUGAUCAAACAGAAAGAUGAAAACAUCCUCCCAACCCUACCUCACCAGUGGAUAAUUCCACAAUGUGUAAACACAUCUUAACGCAACAGACACCACUUCACUUUUUUUAAAUAGAGAGUGACCCAGUUACUGAAGGAGAAAGACCUUGGAUUUAAAAAGCAGACAACCAGUCAUGUUUUUGCUUAUGAAUCAUCUUCACAGAAGUUGUUUUAGGGUAUCCGGUUUUGAGGGAAGCAUGAGAGGCAGAGGCACGCCAAAUUUUAGUCACACAGGGUGCCACUGAAAAUUGAGAGACAAAGUCCACCACUGCUCUUUAUACCACUUAAAUUUGUGUUGUCAGUUUGAAUAUUUGGUCAGUUUCGGCACUGGUUGUUUGGUGAGUGUGCCCAGUUCCACGCUCAAAUUGUAUAGGUGCCUGGUGGGGAGAAACAUACAUUUGCCUCCUGACACAAGGCCUUUGAGAGAGCUUUCUGAACUUCUCACUCAUUCUGCUAACGCUGAACUAUUCCAAAUACACCAUGGUUAUGAUACCUUGGUAGAAUAUUUGUUAUUCCCCCACCCAAUCCUUCUUUUUAAAACCUCUUUAAACAGUAAAUCAUGCAGUUGUCAAGAUUAAAAAAUAAAUAAUUUAUUUCUGUUGUUGUUUUGGAUUGCAAACAAGGGCACUCUGCCCCCUUUUCACUCUGCAUAGCUAUUUAAUGUUAAUACAAAACAUCAAAGGGAUGAAUUUUAAAGAAUUAAAAUUUUCUACCUGCUGCAGCACUAGUGACAUUUUCCAAAGAGCAAAACUUGAAUAAAUAAAAUAAAUGUGGAAUAAAUCUGCAUGGAAUGUGGCACUGGAGAAAUAGCAUCUGCCUCUGUAUGAGAAGAAUGAAAAAAGGACUAGGCUGGAAGAGUAAACAGCAUUUGCACAGAGGUGAAAAAUAUUCGAGAGAGAGAGAGAGAAUAUCUCAUGCAUAUGCACUUAUUUACUUAUUUUUAAAAGUAUGUUAUAUCCCCUUUCAAGGCAAUUUACAAAUAACACAUGUAAAACAAAAACAUUGUAAAAUACAGUUAACUGAGCAUCAGCAUUAGUGUUCUACUUCAAUACAACCCAAAAAUUACAAGCAGCAGUUGAAACUACAGCUUUUUCAAAGAUGUAAAUCAGCAGACUUUAUUCAAUUAAAAGUGGACAGAAGUCUCCAGAUCUUUAAGGCCAAUUUAAAAGUAGUCAGGGAGUGGGCCUGACAGACUUUCCCAUGGGAGGGCAUUGCAUAAGGAUGGAGGCAGGGAGAGGGGAGGACAAGUCUGGAGUCUAGUGGCAAGCCAUAGCUCAGUUGGUAGAGCGUGAGACUCUUAAUCUCAGGGUUGUGUGUUCGAACCCCACGUUGGGCAAAAGAGUUGGUUCCUUCCAACUCUACAAUUCUGUGAUUCUAAGCUUUUGAAUAGGGGCUUUGUGGCUGAUUUUAGGAUGCAGGCAGGCUGAUGCAAAGGUGUGUGUUUGUGUGGAGAGAGACAGAAGGGAAAACAAAAUUAUGCUAGGUAAACAUCUCAGAAGAGAUAAAUGUAAAUGACAUAGGAGAACUUGCAGACUGUGGAUUCAAAGUGUUGAAGUUGAAUGACAAAGUUACCUCAGAGGAUUGCGGGUAGGAGGAAGAAAAAAUAAAAACUAGAAAAUAAAAAAGAAGUGAUGUGAGGGAAUAUCAGUAAAGUGUGUCUGAGGAACUAAGACGA